This 406-nucleotide ribosomal RNA is filed under the name uncultured bacterium. RNAcentral's name for it is "partial 16S ribosomal RNA". It matches the Rfam family "Bacterial small subunit ribosomal RNA", at positions 30 to 526 of the family's 1533-position model. The record is from RNAcentral.
AUUGAACGCUGGCGGCAGGCCUAACACAUGCAAGUCGAACGAGUGGCGGACGGGUGAGUAACACGUGGGAACCUACCCAUCAGAGGGGGAUAACACUUGGAAACAGGUGCUAAUACCGCAUACUGAUGGAUGGACCCGCGGUGCAUUGGCUAGUUGGUGAGGUAACGGCUCACCUAGGCGACGAUCCCUAGCUGGUCUGAGAGGAUGACCAGCCACACGGGAACUGAGACACGGUCCAGACUCCUACGGGAGGCAGCAGUGGGGAAUAUUGCACAAGGGGCGCAAGCCUGAUACAGCCAUGCCGCGUGUAUGAAGAAGGCCUUCGGGUUGUAAAGUACUUUCAGCGGGGAGGCGUUACCCGCAGAAGAAGCACCGGCUAACUCCGUGCCAGCAGCCGCGGUAAUAC